Molecule: ribosomal RNA, 371 nt
Filed under: uncultured bacterium
Lineage: Bacteria
Description: bacterial SSU rRNA
Rfam family: Bacterial small subunit ribosomal RNA
Source: RNAcentral
AGAGACUGCAAGCGUUAUUCGGAUUCACUGGGCGUAAAGGGUGCGCAGGCGGCCGUGUGUGUGAGGCGUGAAAGCCCGGGGCUUAACCCCGGAAUUGCACCUCAAACUACACGGCUAGAGCAUUGGAGAGGGUAGCGGAAUUCACGGUGUAGCAGUGAAAUGCGUAGAUAUCGUGAGGAACACCAGAGGCGAAGGCGGCUACCUGGACAAUUGCUGACGCUCAGGCACGAAAGCGUGGGGAGCAAAAGGGAUUAGAUACCCCUGUAGUCCACGCCCUAAACGGUGCACACUAGGUCUUGGCGGAUCCGACCCCACCAGGGCCCAAGCUAACGCGUUAAGUGUGCCGCCUGAGGACUACGGCCGCAAGGCUA